CUGAAACAUCUAAGUACCCCGAGGAAAAGAAAUCAACCGAGAUUCCCCCAGUAGCGGCGAGCGAACGGGGAGCAGCCCAGAGCCUGAAUCAGUGUGUGUGUUAGUGGAAGCGUCUGGAAAGGCGCGCGAUACAGGGUGACAGCCCCGUACACAAAAAUGCACAUGCUGUGAGCUCGAUGAGUAGGGCGGGACACGUGGUAUCCUGUCUGAAUAUGGGGGGACCAUCCUCCAAGGCUAAAUACUCCUGACUGACCGAUAGUGAACCAG
This 267-nucleotide ribosomal RNA is filed under the name Proteus mirabilis. Its description in RNAcentral is "partial 23S ribosomal RNA". It matches the Rfam family "Bacterial large subunit ribosomal RNA", at positions 193 to 498 of the family's 2925-position model. Lineage: Bacteria; Pseudomonadati; Pseudomonadota; Gammaproteobacteria; Enterobacterales; Morganellaceae. The record is from RNAcentral.